Molecule: transfer RNA, 73 nt
Filed under: Xanthobacteraceae bacterium
Lineage: Bacteria; Pseudomonadati; Pseudomonadota; Alphaproteobacteria; Hyphomicrobiales; Xanthobacteraceae
Description: tRNA-His
Rfam family: tRNA
About the family: Transfer RNA (tRNA) molecules are approximately 80 nucleotides in length. Their secondary structure includes four short double-helical elements and three loops (D, anti-codon, and T loops). Further hydrogen bonds mediate the characteristic L-shaped molecular structure. tRNAs have two regions of fundamental functional importance: the anti-codon, which is responsible for specific mRNA codon recognition, and the 3' end, to which the tRNAs corresponding amino acid is attached (by aminoacyl-tRNA synthetases). tRNAs cope with the degeneracy of the genetic code in two manners: having more than one tRNA (with a specific anti-codon) for a particular amino acid; and 'wobble' base-pairing, i.e. permitting non-standard base-pairing at the 3rd anti-codon position.
Source: RNAcentral
GCCGAUCAGGCCGAUCUGGUGAUGGCGCCGGUUUGUGGAACCGGAGAGCGUAGUUCGAUUCUGCGGGUCGGUA